CAGGAGCUUCACUGAGCAUGGAGUCCUUGGUGCUGCUCCUCUGCCUGGUGGCAGCUCCCUGCUGUGUCCUAUCCCAGGUGCAGCUCCAGGAGUCAGGACCUGGCCUGGUGAAGCCUUCAGAGACCCUGUCCCUUAUCUGCACAGUCUCUGGAUUCUCUCUAACUAGUUAUAAUGUACACUGGGUUCGUCAGGCUCCAGGGAAGGGACUGGAGUGGAUUGGUGUGAUAUGGAGUGGUGGAAGCACAAAUUAUAACUCAGCCCUUCAGUCUCGAGUGAGCAUCAGCAGGGACACUUCCAAGAGCCAAGUUUCACUAACGUUGAGCAGCCUGAGAUCUGAGGACACAGCCGUGUAUUACUGUGCAAGAGACACAGUGAGGGAAAAUCAGUGUGAGCCCAGACAGAAAACUCCCUACAGGGGUGCCCAGGACAACAGGGGGCAGGCAGAACACAUGGAGCUCUUGUCAGGCCCAGGACCAGGUGCAGGUUCCUGGGGCUGCUUUGCUGUUACAGUUUGUGGUUUUCUCUUUCUGUCCCCAACUUUGCAAAAGACUCUCUAG
Molecule: non-coding RNA, 557 nt
Organism: Heterocephalus glaber (naked mole-rat)
Lineage: Eukaryota; Metazoa; Chordata; Mammalia; Rodentia; Bathyergidae
Source: the annotation of a RefSeq genome assembly